This 73-nucleotide transfer RNA is filed under the name Synechococcus phage S-SCSM1. It matches the Rfam family "tRNA". Rfam says of the family: Transfer RNA (tRNA) molecules are approximately 80 nucleotides in length. Their secondary structure includes four short double-helical elements and three loops (D, anti-codon, and T loops). Further hydrogen bonds mediate the characteristic L-shaped molecular structure. tRNAs have two regions of fundamental functional importance: the anti-codon, which is responsible for specific mRNA codon recognition, and the 3' end, to which the tRNAs corresponding amino acid is attached (by aminoacyl-tRNA synthetases). tRNAs cope with the degeneracy of the genetic code in two manners: having more than one tRNA (with a specific anti-codon) for a particular amino acid; and 'wobble' base-pairing, i.e. permitting non-standard base-pairing at the 3rd anti-codon position. The record is from Rfam by way of RNAcentral. Lineage: Duplodnaviria; Heunggongvirae; Uroviricota; Caudoviricetes; Pantevenvirales; Kyanoviridae.
GGGGAAUUAGCUCAGUUGGUAGAGCACCUGCUUUGCAAGCAGGGAGUCAGGAGUUCGAGUCUCCUAUUCUCCA